UACGUAGGUGGCAAGCGUUGUCCGGAUUUACUGGGCGUAAAGAGCGCGCAGGCGGUCGAUUUAGUCGCGUGUGAAAGCCCCCGGCUCAACUGGGGAGGGUCACGCGAUACUGAUCGACUCGAAGGCAGGAGAGGGUAGUGGAAUUCCCGGUGUAGUGGUGAAAUGCGUAGAUAUCGGGAGGAAUACCAGUGGCGAAGGCGGCCCUCUGGGCCAACACUGACGCUCAUGCACGAAAGCGUGGGGAGCAAACAGG
RNAcentral lists this ribosomal RNA (253 nucleotides) under uncultured bacterium. RNAcentral describes it as "partial 16S ribosomal RNA". It matches the Rfam family "Bacterial small subunit ribosomal RNA", at positions 524 to 776 of the family's 1533-position model. The record is from RNAcentral.